RNAcentral lists this ribosomal RNA (380 nucleotides) under uncultured bacterium. RNAcentral describes it as "bacterial SSU rRNA". It matches the Rfam family "Bacterial small subunit ribosomal RNA", at positions 28 to 408 of the family's 1533-position model. The record is from RNAcentral.
GACGAACGCUGGCGGCGUGCUUAACACAUGCAAGUCGAGCGGUAAGGCCCUUUCGGGGGUACGACGAGUGGCGAACGGGUGAGUAACACGUGGGUGACCUGCCCUCAGCUCUGGGAUAAGCCUGGGAAACCGGGUCUAAUACUGGAUAUGACUCCAUGACGCAUGUUGUGGGGUGGAAAGCCUUGUGCGGCUGAGGAUGGGCCCGCGGCCUAUCAGCUUGUUGGUGGGGUGAGGCCUACCAAGGCGACGACGGGUAGCCGGCCUGAGAGGGCGACCGGCCACACUGGGACUGAGACACGGCCCAGACUCCUACGGGAGGCAGCAGGUGGGGAAUCUUGCGCAAUGGGCGAAAGCCUGACGCAGCGACGCCGCGUGAGGGA